Molecule: ribosomal RNA, 508 nt
Filed under: uncultured bacterium
Lineage: Bacteria
Description: partial 16S ribosomal RNA
Rfam family: Bacterial small subunit ribosomal RNA
Source: RNAcentral
GAUGAACGCUAGCUACAGGCUUAACACAUGCAAGUCGAGGGGAAACGAUAUUGGAAGCUUGCUUCCGAUAGGCGUCGACCGGCGCACGGGUGAGUAACGCGUAUCCAACCUGCCCAUCACUUGGGGAUAACCUUGCGAAAGUAAGACUAAUACCCAAUGACGUCUCUAGAAGACAUCUGAAAGAGAUUAAAGAUUUAUCGGUGAUGGAUGGGGAUGCGUCUGAUUAGCUUGUUGGCGGGGUAACGGCCCACCAAGGCGACGAUCAGUAGGGGUUCUGAGAGGAAGGUCACCCACAUUGGAACUGAGACACGGUCCAAACUCCUACGGGAGGCAGCAGUGAGGAAUAUUGGUCAAUGGGCGAGAGCCUGAACCAGCCAAGUAGCGUGUAGGAUGACGGCCCUAUGGGUUGUAAACUGCUUUUAUAAGGGAAUAAAGUGAGCCACGUGUGGCUUUUUGCAUGUACCUUAUGAAUAAGGACCGGCUAAUUCCGUGCCAGCCGCCGCCGUAA